GGGGGCGUACCGGCUUCGACGGGGAUGUUGAGGCGUGAUAAGCGGGUCGUGGCGCCAACCACGUUAAAAUGGCACCUUUAUAAAUCAAAGAACAACGAUAACGUAGUUCUCGCCGCCGCGUAAACGCGGCAGCCGUCCU
RNAcentral lists this transfer-messenger RNA (139 nucleotides) under Oscillospiraceae bacterium. RNAcentral's name for it is "partial transfer-messenger RNA". It matches the Rfam family "transfer-messenger RNA", at positions 1 to 148 of the family's 374-position model. Rfam says of the family: Bacterial tmRNA, also known as 10Sa RNA or SsrA, is named for its dual tRNA and mRNA-like properties. Its role is to liberate the mRNA from a stalled ribosome. Lineage: Bacteria; Bacillati; Bacillota; Clostridia; Eubacteriales; Oscillospiraceae. The record is from RNAcentral.